This 464-nucleotide ribosomal RNA is filed under the name uncultured bacterium. RNAcentral describes it as "partial 16S ribosomal RNA". It matches the Rfam family "Bacterial small subunit ribosomal RNA", at positions 339 to 795 of the family's 1533-position model. The record is from RNAcentral.
CUACGGGGGGCAGCAGUGGGGAAUAUUGCACAAUGGGCGCAAGCCUGAUGCAGCCAUGCCGCGUGUAUGAAGAAGGCCUUCGGGUUGUAAAGUACUUUCAGCGGGGAGGAAGGGAGUAAAGUUAAUACCUUUGCUCAUUGACGUUACCCGCAGAAGAAGCACCGGCUAACUCCGUGCCAGCAGCCGCGGUAAUACGGAGGGUGCAAGCGGUAAUCGGAAUUACGGGGCGUAAAGCGCACGCGGGCGGUUUGUUAAGUCAGAUGUGAAAUCCCCGGGCUCAACCUGGGAACUGCAUCUGAUACUGGCAAGCUUGAGUCUCGUAGAGGGGGGUAGAAUUCCAGGUGUAGCGGUGAAAUGCGUAGAGAUCUGGAGGAAUACCGGUGGCGAAGGCGGCCCCCUGGACGAAGACUGACGCUCAGGUGCGAAAGCGUGGGGAGCAAACAGGAUUAGAUACCCGCGUAGUC